Molecule: non-coding RNA, 1148 nt
Organism: Pogona vitticeps (central bearded dragon)
Lineage: Eukaryota; Metazoa; Chordata; Lepidosauria; Squamata; Agamidae
Source: RefSeq, a predicted model, not a curated record
CGCCCAUGGACCGUACCAUCUGGCAAAGCACUACGGGGAAUGUAGUCCGAUGUGACCCUCUGGGAGAAUGGAAACUCUCCCAAGUGGAAGGAGCAUUCUGAGGCAGCCACAUAGAAAAGGAUCCAGAAGGUGACAGUCCAGCAAACUAAAAACAUAAGAAAUGAUUCCCUUGAACACCAAGCCAUUCAUCCGAGAGAUCAGAUGCAGGAUUCAUAUUGGUCACCAACUCCUGCCUUGCAAAGAAAGAGCAGCUUCAUUCACAUUGAACCAGGCAGCUACAUUGAACAAAUGGCUACACUGAGCAACCUGGAAAGAAUUGGUCUAAUCCCUCUGCCAAUAUUCAGUUCCAGAAAAAGAGGGCAGCCUGUGUGUUUAUCAGCCUGGUCUUACCCAUGGUUUCCCUAUGGCUAUUGGAAAGAAAACCCAUGAGGGAAUUUGGCCCCUGUCAGGAGAGGAAAAAAAGAUUUCCCCAACCUACCCUAGAAUUAAGCCUAGAAAACUUACUUCCUUAGACCAUAUCUUUUACUGGGAAAGGGAUGCAAGGUUUUUUAAAAAUCACUAAUAAUAGUUGGACACCAAUGGUUAGCUAUUUCUCCAUCACCUGCACUCUGAGAAGGCUGACUAGGUGUCAAAACACAGUCAACAAUUCUAAGUAAUUGAAACUAUGAAGACAGUCACAUUUUCCUCACUUUUAUGGUACACUUGUAUUUCUUUCUCUUGUCUAUGCACAUGUGAACACUGCACCUUGGGUAUUCUCAAAACAGAGUGUAAAAUACUUUCAAGCUCUGGCAGACACAAAGACCAUUUGCUCUCAUUGAGGAGCAUCACAGCUCUGUUGAGAAUGAAAACUGUCUCCGUGGUGAUAAGGAAUACCAGGGAGAGUAUGUGUACACACACGUUGCCUGCAAUUCCUGAAUAGUAUGUAUGAAUAACUUUAUAAAUGGGUCACCAGGUUGCUGGCAAAGAAUGCUGCACAACAAAGAUAGUUUUUCCUAAGACAGAAACAAGAGUAAGUACAGAUCUGUUGGUUAAUGAAUGUCUUUGGCAAGUUCCCCAUUGUAAAAUGUUUUGGUGGAAACACUGGGCAUCUGGGGCAUCAAAAUAUUAUCCCCGAAACAGUCCAAAGGAACCAAUAAAAACUAGCAAAU